This 39928-nucleotide long non-coding RNA is filed under the name Setaria viridis. RNAcentral's name for it is "long non-coding RNA (SVIR_LNC009640)". The record is from RNAcentral. Lineage: Eukaryota; Viridiplantae; Streptophyta; Magnoliopsida; Poales; Poaceae.
CAAUUCUUGUGCUGUGGAGGAACUAAGGCUUAGCAACUGCAAUGAUAUAAUUUGCUUGAAGAUACCUUGUCUGCUGCAGAAGCUUGAUAUCCUGGAUGUGCUGGGUUGCAGUAAGCUGGAAAUGAUUGACAGCAAUGCCCCUAACCUCUCCACUUUCUUCUUUGCUGGGCGCCCAAUACAUAUCUCGCUUGGUGAAGCAUUGCAAGUGAGAAAAAUAAGUUUUAGGCGUGACUAUUCACCUGAUGCGCUAUAUUAUGCUAGUACCAAAUUUUCAUUCAUCGCGCCAAAUCUCCAAACUCUUGUGCUAUCAACAAGUAAUGAGGUCAGUUUUAUCCGUCCCAAUAAGUUCAUUGUUCUGGAAAUGAAACUGAUGGUAGAAUAGUAGUUCUAUGUUUACAAUACUCAAUUACUCAGUCCACAAUUAAUCUUCGGGGGAUAUUUAUUUCUUCAGACAGUCAAUACACCAAAGGUGUUUGGCAAAUUCAUCCAGCUCAAGUACUUGGAGAUAGUGGUCUCUACAUCAACGUUUUCCCAAGACUAUGAUCUCUGUUCUCUUAUUUCUUUUCUUGAUGCUUCUCCUGCCUUGGAGUCUCUCAUUGUACGGGUAUGACAUCACUUUGACAAGUUACCAUCUUAAAAACUUCAUAUUUAGGGUGAAAAUCAGUAUAUUCAGUAUAAUUGAAACUUUGUGAUUAUUAUUGAAUAUACACUCUGACAUAUCAUGUAUACCUAUGCAGAUUGCGCAGCCGACAAUAAGGCGAGAUUCAGUUAUUGAAGACUCAAGUGGCUACUCACGUCCACAGUGCCUUCAAGAACAGUGCCAUGACAACCUCAAGAAUGUGAUGAUAACCGGCUUUUGCUCUGCGAAGAGCAUGAUUGAGCUCACGAUCUGUAUUAUCGAGAAAACAAAGGCACUGGCGUGCCUUACACUAGACACUACCCGUGGGUACGAUAGGAGGCAUGUCAAGGUUGAUAAGUGCCUGCAGCUGAAUGAGGAGGCACUUGUGGAGGCUAAAAAGGCCCGCGUUGCCAUUCAGAGAUACAUCGAGGGGAGAGUGCCCCCAGCUGUGAACCUGAAAGUUAUUGAGCCAUGUAGCAAGUGUAUAUGGUGACAAAUGUUAGGUGUUUUUAUGUGUUUUUCCUUUUCCCAAGCUAUGAUUCACAUAGCUUUGCUACUCUCCCUCGUUUAGCUAGUGCUAAUCUCCGUAAUUCUGCCAGAAAGCAUGGUUGUCAAAUCUUUUUUUUUUAUUUAGCAUGUUGGAGAAGUUUUCCAAAUAACCAAAUUCAGGGGGAAAAUCUGCAAUAUUUCAAUAUUUUGUGGGUCCGAUAAAUUUAUUUACCGAAACUCCAUGUAAAUAAUUCUAUCUCAUGUGUUAAAGUUGUGGUAUAUCGUCUUUUUUUUUAACUUGUGCAAUAAUUACGAUGUGUGAUGGAUUAGGGAUAGUUUCUAGUGAAAUCCUGGCAUGCCAAAAAAAAUUAGCAGUGAUUGUAGUUGCCAUUUUUAUCAUGGCCUGGAAGUUUACUACUCGGAUGGGGUGGUUGUCUAUUAAAAAAUACAUUACCGUCAUGUUUCGGUGUUUCACCCGACUCUCUCCACCGAAAUCGCUAAUAGAGUACCGGACACCUCCGUCGCCGCCCACCUCCUCCGUCAUCCUCUUCCUCUCUUGGGUUCCCAUUUCGGCUUUGUUCAGUUAAUCCCCUUCCCAGGGGAUCGGAGGGGAUUGAGGGGGAUUUUGACUUGCAAGGGAUUUAAUCCCUCCCAAUUCCUUUCAACCCUCUCCAAUCCCCUUCAAACCGAAAGGCCUUCUUAUUUAUUCAAUUACGUGCCACUGGACAAAACUGAUUCGCAAGUGAUAGGUCGGCUUGUUCCGUCACUAGAAUAGAUGUUUCACCUCAUCAAGUGUAUUGAAGGGACCAUGACACCCUAAGAGCUCGUUUGGCAACUUAGGCUAGAACUACCCUGGGCAGCACAACCCCCUUCGAUAAAUUAACGGAGUUGGGCAUCCCUGCCCAGACAGGUAGACCCCCCCCCCCCCCCUCCUCCGUUUGGAGCCAAACUCCAGGGGAAGGGCCUCCCACCCAAAUCUUGUGUAAAGAAAAUAGUCCACAAUUCACAAAUACUAAAAAAAUUCAAAAAAUCAGAAAAAUAGCAAUAAUAAAUAAGGUCCAACAAGCAAUAUCAAUCACCAAGUAUUAAGGCACUGCAAGUUAAAUAAAUUCAGCAUAGCACAUCCAAGUCGCAGGCACUGCUGAUUAAGGCACCAGAUAAUUAUUGAUCCAUCAAUUGUUCUUCUAAAAAUUUAGGUAUAUAGUUAAAAUGUUGCAUAUAACAUAUGGAUCAGAUAAUUCAAAGAUACAUAUAGCUCGUAAUGUAUGAAUGCCAACUGAACAAGAAUGGGGUCUACAUAAUGAGCAAAACCUUUGUACAUGAUAUAAAAAUCAAAUGAUCAAAUAUAUACAUAUGCACAUAGAUAUUCACAUGAAUACUCUUUUUGCUAUUAUUACUGGAAAGCAUGACCAUUACAUGCCACUAUCUUAGAAGUUACAGUAUAGUGGAUGGUGUGAUACUAGUAUUGACAAGGUUAAAAUUACUAUCAAGAUAUGUUGCAGAUAUCUGGAAAGAUAUGUUACAGACAAGAGAUGUGACAAGAUAUGUAUUGCACAGACAACUAGACAUGGCAUGUAUCCUACUGAAAUGAUAAUUGAAAAAAGAAUGCUUGCAUGAACCAUAAUUAGGAAUAGCUCGUCAUCCUCUUCUUCCUCCUCUAGCAUGAAUCUUCUAACUUCAUCCUCCCAAGAUUCCAUUAUCUCCUUACUCCUAUAAUAUGCAGAUUCAAGGACAAUAAAAAUUGGACAUGCACCGGAGGUUACUUAAUACUGAGACAUAAAUGUACAUGCACCAAAAAAAUUUAUUUUAUUCCCAAGCACACCAGCAAGAGCAGGCAGCAAUAGAUGCAGCAGACAAGACAGUAGAGUCUAGUGGGUGAGGAAACAGCAAUGCCACCUUCCUGAUGACCAGCAAAUGCUGAAGCAACUGAGAUCCUCCCGUCCUUGGACUCCACAACUACAAUAGAGGGGAAGAUCAUAUAUUGAUUGUAAAUGCAAGAUUGAGAUGUCAACUAGAAUACAUGAAUUGAUAUAGCAUCAGGUUCGUCAAACAAAAAAAAAUUCAAGCACCACUGACAACGACCAAUGCGAGCACUGACUAAAACAAAUGUGCAUAUAGCCAUUCUUGUUCUCAAUGCCUGUGUGCAUUAGCUAUGCAGCUAUGCGCAACAGCUAUGUGGCACCGUUUUGAAUGCAGCACACUAAUUAUUCAGAAUUAGUCACAGUUUUGAAUGGCUGUGUGCAACAGCUAUGCAGCUAUGGACAGUACAAGCGCAUACUUGCAUACUAGCAUCCUCAUACCAGUAGUAUAGGAUACUAUAAAAUCCCUCAAAAAUAAACUUGUUAAAAGUUGUAAUUUUGAAGCUUUGUAUUCUCUCCGUGGAUCACUUGUACUGAAAAGCUUAGUCAGCUAUGACAUUAUUAGUCGGAGAGAUUUAGCAAGCACUUGUCUGAACUUGUUGUGCUAGAUGAUGUGUGAGACAUAUAUUCAGUGCAUCUCGAUAUAUAAGAUUUUAUACUAUGUUCAAAUGUUCAGACUACACACAAUGUUCAGACUACACACACCAAACAUAUAGAUGCAUAUAUGACAUAAUUUGGCCAAGCUACCUGUACCUGUCUGCUUGCUCGUGUUUAGGAGGAAACCAGGACAAGUAAACAACACUAGUUCUGAACAGUGCUGAGUGCACAUUGUAAUGGGGACAACACUAGUUGAAGAAACAAGAAAUCUACAGUUCCCUGGGAGCUGGACCUACAGAAGCAUGAUUCAAAUUUUUUGAGCGAGAGAAUUGGUAAUCUUGGCACAAAAUUGAUCCCAGGACUGCAGGAAAGCAAUAAUCACAUUUGGCAACUGGAUCUCUGCCUAGCCUCUCGGAUGCUCCUCGACGCUCUUCACUAGGUAGAUCCUUUGGCAAAACGCCUAGGGCCUCUCCUCCCUAUCACAACUACCGGCGGCCACUCCACAAAUGCGGUAUAAGGGUCUCGCAAGACUUACAAGCCCUAGAUUUACAACUCUUGGUGCGCGCAAGCACCGAUACAAAGGAGGUGUGCAAACCUCACCUAACUCUAAGCUAAUCCCUAAAGCAAUGCGCUAAUAAGCCUAAACUAGCACUAAUCAAGACUUAAGCCUUAUGCUAAUUGCCUUAAUCUUCUCUUUAGCACUUGUCUGUAUGUGGAAUACAAGCCUUCAGCUUCCCUGAGCUCUAACCCAUCUCAAAUGGUCGGGUAAUGGGGUAUUUAUAGCCCCAACCAAAGAAACUAGCCAUUGCAAGCAGUUGCAACUUUUCUGCGUAGCACCGACUGAUUCGGUGAUGCACAAGAUGUGUCACCGUAUGAAUCCAUAAGUGCCACCUCAGCUAGCCGUUGGGCUCUUACGCACACUGAUGCCUGGGCCCAGGUCACCGACUGAUUUGGUGCCUUUCCUUGACCCUCACCGUAUGAAUCGGUGGGUUCUUCUUAGCCGCUGCCUUCCUCCGUCACCGACUCAAUCGCUGCCCUUCUCCUUGAUCGACCGUAUGAAUUGGUAUGGCUCUAAAAUCACUCCAAGGUAGAAAAAGCCAAUUUUGAGCCGAUCCUGAGCCUAGCCGAUCGCACUGACUGAUCGGUGCUGAUUUGCUGUGCCCACCGAAUGAGUUGGUGGUCACAUUGCACGCUGCCUUGGUCUUGUAGUUGAUCUUUGUCACCGACUGAUUCGGUGCCUUGGCCUUUUACGCACCACAUCAUCCGUUGACCAUAGUCUUAGCCCUGCUAUGGUUCUUCUUGUCACCGACUGAUUGGUGACCACACUUGGUCACCAUCGUAUGAAUCGGUGGUUGGUCUUUCAGCAGGAUUCGCUUCAUGUCUUUGCGUGACUUUGUCCCGACUUAUCUUCUAUGAUGUAUUGGGUUGCUUUAAGGUCUUGUAGGGUGUUGUACUUGUCCUCUUGACAUUUGUUCCAUGUGUUAUAUUCCCAAGUCCAUCACUUUGCAUCCAUGUGAAUAAUCCUUGUAUACUUGCAAACGUUGUUAGUCCAUGGGUUAGUGUUGACACACAAUCACCAAAAUCAUUAAUGGCCUAACUAGGUCCAUUUUCCUUACAUGUAUGAUGGUUCUCAUUGUGCCCAAAAAAAGGGAUCUCAAGUCCAGCUUCUAGAGGAAUUGUUGGUAUUGUUUAUGUGUAUGUAACUGCAAGUGAAAAAACAUCAUAUUGUUGGGUUUAUUUUGGAUUGCACGAAUUUGUAGAGCCAUCUGAUAUUCAAUCAGCACUUUUAGGUCUAGAUUUGCAGUGCAAUUUGUGAGAUAUGUAUGUGCUAUGUGCGUGUAUGGGCCUGGUGUGCAUCACGCCACGGCCCAGGUCGGCUCCCUGUCGUGCCUAGAUAGAUCAGGAUAGGCAGGUUAUCCCUUGAUUGGUUAUGAUUCUAUAAACCUCUCCCAAAAGCUGCCUAUAUAUUUGUAUACCUUGUAUACCCUAAUCAAUCUAUUAUUCCAUGCAAUCUCCAUUGCUUUCUGUUGAUGUCCAAAAGUGGCAGCAAGCUGAUCAGGAUGAGACUAGCCGGUCAGACCGGUUCCUCCAGGCGGUCUGACCGGUCCGGGUCUCUAUAGCCAAUCUGGCACGCGCCUGCCGGUCUGACCGGUGGUCUCGACCGGUCAGACCGGUCACCCCGAAUCCGAGAAGAACCUAGGAGUCCUGGUUGAAUUGGAGUUGAAACGGAACUUCCUUGCGGGAAAAGACCUCCCACCCUAUAAAUAUAAAGGACCUGGCUAAUUGAGUGCUAUCACCCAAUCGACAAACAAAUAUUUUACACUUUUAUCUCCAAACCCUAGCUUUUCCAACCCCUUUGCUUUCCUCCUGCGUCCUGGCGGCAUUUGAGGAUGUUCUGACUGGCCUGACUAAUCUCAGAGCAACCCUAGGCUCGCCAUCUCCGACAGGAUCCCUCCCGAGGUGGUGAACGUAUGCUUUCUUGGUGCCCCUACGAGGACUGGUCUACUAGACCCCCUGACCGGUCUGACCGGCCAGGUGCAGAAGACCCGACGAGGUGAUCUUUCAAUUCACGUGCGAACCAGCGCAUUCGUGUGUUGGCCGGAAAAAGGCGUCAACACAUUUUGGCAACUCAGCUGGGGAAGAAAGAUCUGGUUUUACAACCGUUCUGAAAAACCCUAGCAAGAUGGGAUUUACUAUAGAAAUCGACAUGGACAACAUCAUCACAGCUUCUGUGGAGGAUCUCAGCGAGGAGGAGCAGCGGAACAUCGCGUCACUACAGGAGUAUGUGAAGAACUACUAUCUGUUGGGCCCCAAGAAAGAUCACAAGGGCAAUUUGACGAGGGUACAAGACUUCGAGAUGCCCGCGAUCAAGAUGAAGGACCACAUGUCGAGGAAGUAUGCAACGUAAGUGAUUUUCCACCCGAUCAGUCCAUCUUGAAUGAAGAGUUCCGUAAGAGCCUCGAUCACCAAAAUAAGACUACUGCUUCUUCAAUGGCACAAGUAAGUCAACUUGUAGAGGGUAAAUCUGUUGAAUCUAAUAAAGAUGAUUUUUCUCAAGUUGAUUCACGUGGGGUUGCGCAUGUGAGUCCAUCGGCAAACCUAGGGGCUACUCCUGAAAACCCUAAGUACGGCAUGCCAUUGAACUUCUAUGCAGGACAGACGCCGCCCCGGGUCCAACCGCCAAAGCUGAACAUGGCUGAAGCGGUCAGACUGGUCCAGGCAAGCGGUCUGACCGGUCAGGCUUCCUAGGCCGACCAGUUAGCAAUUGUCCCUGAAUCGCUCGUGCCACUCACUGUUGUGCCUAGUUCGGUUGCUCCAAACCAUACUGGUGAGCUUGGGAUGAACACACCAUCAAUCAGCACAAUAGCGUACACGUCACCCCCGAUCCCUAACACCACUGUAGCAUCUAGGAGUAUUUCAAAUGAUGUGUUUUCUGAUUUGCACCGCAUUCAGAAUGGCAAUCCACCCCACGCGAGUGCUAUGAAUACAUCAGCCUCAGUGCUACCAGAGUCACAUCCCCUUCACGAGAUUAGAAAAUUUAGAGAAGAGAUGUUGGCUAUGAUUCAAAAUAAAUUUGGCAUAGAUACAGGUAGUUCAAAGUUGUAUCAAAAACCAUAUCAUGCUGAUUUUGACUAUGUCCUCUAUCCUGUCAGUUGGCGCAUGCCCGAUUUUAUUACAUUCAGUGGCGAAAUAACCGAACUACUUGGGAGCACAUUAGUCAGUAUUUGGCUCAACUAGGCGAAGCAGGUUAUUAUAAUACUUUGCGGGUUCGCUUAUUUUCUUUAUCAUUAACUGGAACCCCCUAGGCGGGUUGCCGGUCUAAAACACCGACAGCUGGCGCGCCAGGUAGGGGAACUCGUUGAGUUUCUCAGCCUGAAUUCAAUGGCAAAGGUCAUCAUCAGGCCCAUUUUCUUCAUCGAAGUGGGCGCCACCUUCAUUUUCGGAUCCUGGCUUUGCGUCGCCGAUGGCUCGGGUUCGUUCCGGUGCCAGAUCGUUGAUCCUCAGGAGAAGAAACUAGAAGAUCUGAUCGAAAAAAACCAAGAUUUCAAAAUUGACGAGUUCGAGUUCGACUACACAUCGGAUGCGACUUCGCUUCAGACUAAUCGAUCCUAGCUAGUGCCCGAGUCGGUUUCGAUUUCAAAGUGGUUCCCGCACGGAAUCCGCAACGCAACCAAGAUUCACCAAGGCUUUCUUACUCAAACCCGACUUGAACUCGGGCAUGAUGAAGACAUCGACUCCGACUCGUCUUAUUCACUAGAGAUACCAUUAUCUGGUCCAGCCCAAGGAUUGGUAAUAACUUCAACAUCACAAGGCAGAUUCGUCCACUGGCCGGGAUUGCGACCAUCUUUUCUUGACCGCGACUACGACUCGCGCCUUGUCGCCCAUAUAGACAAUCUCCCAUAUCAAGAGGGCGUUCCACUCACUUCCAACCACGAGGAAAGUUCCACAGAGAUUGCAACGUCAAGCUCCGGAAGCUACUACCCGGAUAGGGAGAUACUUGUUAUUACUCAGAAUAACAACCCGGGUACUAGCUAGAACAGAACCCCCAGGUGAUUAUCCGGAGAUGAGUCUACAGCUGACGCCCCUCACAAUGAAACCUCUGAGCAAAGAAACCAAAGGAGGAUGCGCAACGCUACUCGAGCCGAGCGACGGUAGUCGAUGGCUACAAAUAUUCCCAUUACAAAUCUUGAAAGGGCCUUCGACGUAGUUUAGGCUCAGGAGCACAAUACUCCACUCACGGCUAUCGCCUCAAUCAGCCUUUUAACAACGCUGAUGCCUCAGGACAGGGAUAACGAAGCCACAGCUCAACUCGUAUAGCGUGGCAACGGACUAAUCGCACAACUCGUGGAGCAAGCCUACAAGUUACUCGACAAGGAAUCUCCAAUUCCGUCUGUUCCUCGCAUCACAUCUCACCAAGAAGGCAGCCGGGGAGCUGCAGACAACAACAAUGCCCCAAAAAAUAGCAACGAAGUUAACCAACCUCGGCAGCACAGCCAAGGUCCAAGCAAGCACAAGGCCCCAGCUCGCCAUAAGGAUGUUGGCAAGGUCAGCUGCACCAACUCGGUUAAAAGUAUCCGCCCUACUCGGAAGAACCACGAAGUGUCUAGCUUUAGUGAUCUGCAAGAAAUUCUCAACAGUCGGCGUGAACGAGAAGUCGACAACUAAAACCACUUUCCUGCUUUCACAAACCGAGUAAUGAAAAGAAAAUUACCCGAGAAGUUCAAGCCAACCGGAAUCACCAAGUAUGACGACAAACAAGACCCAAUUCAAUGGCUACAAUGCUACUCGCUAGCCGUCCAAGCAGCUGGGGGCAAUAACGACACCAAAGUUAUCCACUUCCCCAUAUGCAUGGAACCCACACCACUGACCUGGCUUGAGUCGCUCAAACCCAAGUCCAUUGACUCCUGGGCAGAUUUGACAAAGGCUUUCACCAACAACUUUGCCGGCUCCAUGGCUAGACCAGGCAAUAAGAUUGACUUAAGUCAAAUCAAGCAAAAGGAAAGCGAGACCUUACACGACUAUUUGCGAUGCUUUUUCGAAAAGAAGGCUACCAUAGUUGACAUCUCAGAAACAGACAUCAUCGAGUGCUUCCAGAAUGGACUCUACGAUCGACGAACAUACCAAGACUUCGGUCGCCGACGACCAGCUAAUGUCAAAGACCUCAAAGUCAUGGUGCAGCAGUGGGCAGAUGAAGAAGAUAAAGAGCGAGAACGGUUCAGCUCCCACCGAAACCGUGGAUGCGACAACAACAAUGACCAAGAUAGAACUCAAAAAAAUGAUACUCGAAACAACUAUUCGAGUAAUCACAACCACAAAAGGAAGCCCGACAACACUGUUGCUGCCAUGACCAACUCCGGGAGAAAGGGACCCCGUAAAAACGACGAAGGGACAACCUUCAUUGAACUACUCAAAAAGCAGUGCCCAUGGCACCCGACUAGCAAGCACUUGACAAUAGACUGCUACAGCAUGCGCCGAGUAAUGCAAGACUUACCCGCACCACCACCUCCUGAGGAGUACACCAAGAAAAAGGAUAAGGGCAAGAACAAAGCCCACAACGAUGAAGACGAAGAAGGCAACUUCCAGACCGCCUCAAAAACUGUCAACGUCAUCUUCGGCGGUAUCCCAGGCACUGCAUCCAAGCGAGCCAACAAACUCGUACUCAGGGAGAUCAUGGCCAUCGAACCAACGGAUCCAACACCAUUAAAAUGGUCAGAAGUGCCUAUUUCUUUCAGCAGAAAAGACCAAUGGACCAAGUUCUCAGAACUAGGCUGUUUCCCCCUAGUACUUGAUCCAGUUGUGGCAGGCUCAAAGUUAACCAAAGUACUCAUCGACGGCGGAAGCGGACUCAACGUUAUUUUCACCAAGACAUUGAGGAAGAUGUGCCUCGACGUUACUGAAAUGCUUACUCCAACAGAUUCACCUUUCUACGGUAUCGUGCCUGGAAAUGCGGUUGUACCACUAGGACAAGUUGUCCUUCCGGUUACCGUACCGAGUACAUCAGAUUUGAAGUCGCUGACUUCAAGACAUCAUACCAUGCCAUACUCGGAAGGCUAGCACUCGCCAAGUUCAUGGCCAUACCACAUUAUGUUUACCUGGUACUCAAAAUGCCAGGCCCCAAGGGAGAACUCACGCUGCGAGGAGAUCUACGGCGAUCCUACAAAUGCGACACCGAAGUCGUAGAAAUUGCUGCGACUACUCAAGCACCUAGUCCCAUGCAACAAUUCUUCACAGCUUCAAAGAAGCUCCAUCCAACCGAAUUAGAGAUCCUAGAAAACAAGUCGGGGUCCACAAAGCUGAAACCUGCUAGUGAGCAAGACUUCAAAUCAGUUGACCUCCAGACGGGCGACCCUUCCAAGACAGCCCUGAUCGAAACAGGGCUAUAUCCUAAAUAGGAAUCCACGCUCGUCAGCUUCCUUCGGGCUAACCACGAUAUCUUCACUUGGAAACCGACUGACAUGCCAGAUGUGCCCAAGGAGAUGAUUGAGCAUACACUCAACGUCGAUCCCAAAGCUACUCCGAAACGGCAACGACUUCGCCGCUUCGCUCAGGACAGACGAGAAGCAAUCAGAAAAGAGUUAGCCAAGUUACUUGCGGCAGGGUUCAUCAAAGAAGUCUGUCAUCCUGACUGGCUCGCCAAUCCCGUGCUCAUUCGUAAGAAAAACAACGAGUGAAGAAUGUGCGUCGACUAUACCGACCUCAACAAACACUGCCCAAAAGACCCUUUUGGGCUACCCAGGAUUGAUCAGGUGGUCGACUCCACCGCUGGGUGCGCUUUACUAUGCUUUCUCGACUGCUACUCUGGCUAUCACUAGAUAAGCCUCAAAGAAGAAGAUCAAGCCAAAACAACGUUCAUCACGCCUUUCGGAGCUUUCUGCUACAAAACAAUGUCCUUCGGACUAAAAAAUGCAGGGGCAACCUAUCAAAUGGGCAUACACAUGUGCUUCGAAAAGCAACUUCACCGUAAUGUUGAAGCUUAUGUCGACGACGUAGUCGUCAAAACAAGAAACUGGGAGGAACUCAUUACGGACCUAGAGGAAACUUUCUCUAGUCUACGCGCUUUCCAAUGGAAACUCAAUCCUACUAAGUGCGUCUUUGGAGUACCUUCCGGCAAAUUACUCAGGUUCAUCAUUAGCCAUCGCGGCAUUGAGACCAACCCGGAAAAAAUAUCUGCCAUCACAAACAUGCAGGCACCAGCUAGCAUUAAGGAUGUGCAAAAACUCACAGGCUGCAUGGCCGCUCUCAACCGGUUCAUCUCGACACUUGGAGAACGGGGACUACCCUUCUUCAAGCUUCUCAAACGCCAGGACAAGUUCAAAUGGACGGAAGAGGCAGACGAGGCACUAACACAACUCAAAGACUUUCUGUCAAAGCCUCCGAACGAAGACUUACUCCUAUACAUCUCAGCUACUACUCAUGUCGUCAGCACGGCAAUAGUAGUCGAACGGUCUAAACCGGGCCACGCUUAUAAGGUCCAACGACCUAUCUACUUCAUUAGUGAAGUACUCUCGGACUCCAAAACUCGGUAUUCACCGAUACAAAAACUCUUAUACGCAAUUUUGCUCACCUCCCGAAAACUGCGCCAUUACUUCCAAGAGCACAACAUCACAACCAUCUCCGACUUCCCGCUCGGCGAAAUUCUCCACAACAGAGAUGCCACGGGUAGAAUCUCCAAAUGGGCAGUUGAACUCGGAUCUCUCACCUUGGACUUCAAGCCAAGGACAGCUAUCAAAUCCCAAGCUUUGGUCGACUUCGUAGCUGAAUGGACUAAAAAUCAAGUGCCAACACCAGUCGAACAGCCAGAACACUGGGUAAUGUACUUUGACGGAUCCCUCAAACUCAAAGGGGCCGGCGCAGGCGUAUUACUCAUCUCCCCAGGGGAGACCAGCUCAAGUACAUGCUGCAAAUAUUCUGGGAAGCAUCUAAUAAAGAACCCGAGUACGAAGCACUACUCCACGGCCUUCGCCUUGCAAUCUCCCUCGGCAUCAAACGACUACUGGUGUAUGGCGAUUCUCUAGUUGUUAUAAACCAGGUCAAUAACGAGUGGGACCGGAACAAGGACAACAUGGACGCUUACUGCAAAGAAGUCCAUCAACUGGAAAACAAGUUCUCAGGCUUGGAAUUUCAUCACAUCGUCCGCGACAACAACGUUGCCGCUGACGUCUUAUCUAAAAUGGGCUCAACUCGUGCAGAGGUUCCAGCAGGAAUUUUUGUACACGAAUUGCGCAAGCCGUCCAUAUCUGACCAAGUCACACCGCCAGCAGUCCCGACUGCUGACAUCUCUUGAGAAGUCAUGAUGAUAGAAGUUGACUGGAGGACACCCUUCAUCGACUACAUCAAAGAUCACCAGUUACCAUCCAACAAAAAUAAGGCUGAGCAAAUCUCCCGGCGAGUAAAAAAUUACAUACUAGUCGGAGACAAGCUCUACAGGAAAGGUGCAUCAUCUGGGGUACUCAUGAAGCGCGUUACCAGAGAAGACGGUCAUGAAAUCUUAGAAGAAAUUCACAAAGGAAUCUGUGGCAACCACACCUCUUCGCGAACAAUAGUUGGCAAGGCUUUCAAAGCAGGCUUCUACUGGCCAAUGGCUCUGGCCGACGCUAAACAACUAGGUCAGAAAUGCAAAGGUUGUCAAUUCUUCACAAAACAGCAACAUGUACCGGCCUACAAGCUAGUCACAAUACCUCUAACAUGGUUGUUUGCCUACUGGGGGCUCGACAUGAUAGGGCCGUUACCAACUGCGCCAGGAGGAUUCAACCGAGUACUCGUGGCAAUCGACAAAUUCACCAAGUGGAUCGAGGUCAAACAAGUCACUUGCCCCAAGGCAGACCGAGUCCUCAACUUCUUAGAUGAAAUCGUACACCGCUACGGUUUUCCCAACAAGAUUAUCACAAACCUAGGGUCAAACUUCAACAAUCACGACUUUUGGGAAUAUUGCAAGAAUAGCGGCAUCGACGUCCGCUAUGUCUCAGUCGCUCACCCACGAGCCAAUGGACAAGUCGAGCGUGCUAAUGGCAUGAUACUCGACGCCCUGAAGAAAAGACUACAUGACGUUGGCAACACUAAAGGCGGCAAAUGGCUCAAAGAGUUACCCAACGCUUUCUGGGGCUUACGUACCCAACAAUGCAAGACUACUGGGCUAUCACCCUAUUUCCUUGUAUAUGGCUCAGAAGCCAUACUACCUACCGACAUCAUGUGGCAAUCACCCUCAGUUGAACAAUACGAUGAAGCACUGGCAACAGAAACAAGGCGAACAGAUAUAGACAGUCUAGAAGAAACAAGAUGCGCAGCUCUAGUGCAAUCUACCAGAUACCUUGACGGUUUAAGGCGUUACCACGACCGCAACAUCAAGGAAAGAUCUUUCAACUUGGGCGAUAUGGUCCUUAAGCGUAUCCAAGACACAUCAGGGUUACAUAAACUCAAUUCACCAUGGGAAGAUCCUUACAUCAUGUCAAAGGUUACGGGACCUGGAUCUUACAGACUCCAUGAGUUUUCAGGAGAAUAAGUACCAAACUCUUGGAAUAUAGAACAUCUUUGUCGCUAUUACCCAUAGCAGCAUCCGAGUAAUCGCUUCAAGGCAAUAACUCCUGAUGACUACUCAGGCUAACUGCCCGUCUACCGACUUCAAGAUACCUCAGCUUUGACAAGAGUUAUCAACUCAACAAGGAUCACUGCCCUGGUACAGAAUUUCCAUAAAGUAUUUCUUUACUGAACCGAAGAUACAUCAGGUUACAUACGAGUACAAGUACUCGAAAUACACGAAGACUACAAGCAACUGCCUACUGGCAAGCUGCAUUUAAGCCUCAGGCUUUUACUAUAUCACAAGGCCACUCAGGUUUGCCGACUAUAGUAGGAAGGGCCUACACGCAAGGAAGCUGCGCAAAACGCAGCCAUAUCCAGGUCCUCUACCCAAGGCAACGCCAGGAACUCCUGCAUCGCCACUACCUUGACAGCGGCAACGAUGAAUCCAGCGCGACGCGCCUAGAGAGAACCAAGGCUGCUCUUUUGCUAGCCUUGCGGAGCCAAUCCACUCUACGGCCACACCUCCACCUCUAAGAGAGUGGAAUAAAGACCGCGGCACUCAUCACCCCUCACCCGCGAGUUCCAGUGCGUACCCCACUGGAUCACGAGCUGCAAGAUGAGGCGUGUGAUGAAACCUCCUACAAGGAUUCUUCUAGCAUCGCGGCUAUCCCUACGAGCGCAGGAGUCUGUGGAGGGAAGGUGGCCUCAAUCUACGAGGAAUCUUCUAGCACCGGUGCACUCUUUGAUGGCUCUCUACACUCAAAACAAAAGCAACCAAAGGCAAUCCAUUGCUACUCAGAAACUUGGUUUGGUUCGCUCUCCAGAUGGCUCUAUUUAUAGCCGAAAGACGCAACUACCACCUGCCCAAGAGUUACUAUGCGCCAGUGAUCAAUGAGUCUGACGACUCCUUACUCUUUCCACGUGAUGGUACUUAUGCCACAAAGGAAAAAAGAGUACAGUAUACCCGCGCAUCCACAAAGGACAAAAGAGUACAGUACACCUGCGUACCCUCAAAAGCAGAGUACUCGACAGCAUCAUGACUACUCGACACUUGGAACUACUCCAAGCCAAGCGCGGCCUUUGCCCACACCAUUAUCUUGGGGGCUCGGAAUAUUCCGACCCUCUGCUCAGGGGUCGGGUACACCCAACUCUAAGACUUAGGGUCGGGCGAGGUGAAGCUUCCCCCCUUAAAGGGGUCGAGUGCACCCGACCCCAGGACUUAGGGUCGGGCGAGGCAGAGUUCCCCCCCCCCCCCAAAGGAUCGGGCUCAGCCGACCCGGGGACUUUGGGUCGGACAAGAUAGAGUAAACCUACUCUUCGCAAGAUAAUCCCUUCAACCAACAAGACCAAUGGGCAAGUAUUCAUUUAUCAAAAGUAUUGUUCAAAGUACUCGACACAGAUUCACGAGUACAUAAAACGCUCAAGGCUCUUCUGGAGAGACGAACUUCGACAUCUUCGAUGUGAUAGGCUCCGCCUCCUUGAGGUAUUGCGCAUAUGCUUCUUCUGUGCAGUUGCGAGCCACACAGUCACCAACCGCCGCCAAGUCUGCCGUCGGGUACUAGGACUUCACGACUGCAAGGACCUAUUUGCAAACAGCUUUGUAGAGUCCUGCCACUUUACUCGGGGCAGCCUUCAAUCACUCGACUAGUGAUUGUGGCCCUGCGCCUUCUUCCACGGGGGCUAUGGCGUUCACCAAGUCUUCAGCUGCUACAGUUAGCUCCUGGAGUUCGCCUUGAAGUCUUCCCAUGGUCUGGGCAUGAUCUCUGCAUGCCACCAUGGCCAUGGCAAGCAUCACGCCAUUCUGCAUCUUCCUGUCCCGCUGAUGCUCGCAAGCAGCCUGUGCUUCCGUCAGCGCGGCCCGAAGACGUUCAGCUUCAUCCGCCACUCGGUCGUGCGCGUUUCUCCAGUUGAGAACUUGGCUCCUUGCAGCCGCCUCUUGCUUCUUGAGCUCUACAAGACAAAAACAAGUUCAACCACAGCCGACUACAAUCGGACAUACUCGGAGUAUGCAGAGUACUUGCCUUGAUACUUCUUGUUCAGCGACUUGUUGCGGCUCUCCAGUUUUUGCUACAGGACCGCGUGAUCCGUACGUUCCAAAGCAAAAGACUUUGCUCCAACCUCGUGAACCCUUAGAGCUUCUGUCAGUCGGGCACAUUCCUGCUCCAAUUGAUGACUUCGUUCUUGAAAGGGCCCGAGUAAACAAGGCAAUACGGUCAGUUAAAAGCCUCACAGUUACUUGAUCUAUGUGACAAUUCAAAAGAAAUUUACCUGGAAGCUCCGGAAAACAUCGACGGCCCUCUGGAACUCCAAGUCAGAUGGCAGGCUGAGCACUAGUCUUUGAGUACUCUUCGCAAGAUGAGGAGUUGUACCCAAAGUGGCACCUGCAACAUUUAUCAUGUCAACUGCUUGCUACGACUACAAUAACAAGACUAACAGAGACAUACCUGGAGCAGUCGCCUCUAUGACUUUUUCAACACCUACUACGGCCAGCGAUCCGCUAGUGGAUGUUGAUAAGGCAGCACUUCCUGAACCCAAUGCAGCGGCGGGAACCUCCACCGAACGGAUGAUGUCUUGAAGCAUCGACAUAGUAGCCCCAAGACGACCGGCAUCAACUUCGGGUACCUCCUCAACAAUUAAAUCCUCCAAAGGAGCAGAUAAUGUAGUCGGGGGAUCCGACUCUACCCCUCUCCACAGGGAUAGUCUCAUCCGCAUCCCUACAUCAAAAAAUGUCAUUAUACGACUUCAAGACAACUUAAAGAUAUACACCGGCUAAACAAGCUCACCAAGUCGAGCCUGGCAAAAAUCGCACACGUUUCUUCUCGACAACAGGUGGUCGAGUAGUUGGCGCCGCAGGAACAGCCGCCGGCGUUGUCUUCUCGCCAAGACCUGUAAAGCAAAAGUCAAGACUACAAUUCAACUCAGACAAAAGAAACUAGCCGGGGCAGAACACUUACCACUGGCGAUCACAUUGGACAGUAAAGAAACGGUAGCGAGUACUGGCAACACCUCCUUCGCAACAUCUGCUGCUCCAGCGGGCAACCCCAGGACUGCCUCGUCAAUAACGGGCAGCAUGGCAGCCGACGGAGCCCGUGCGGAUAGCUCGGAGGCUACUCCAACUUCUGUUGAUGGCACCUUCUCUGGCACCAUGUCAACAGAUAUAUUACCGACAUCCGAGUCGGUCAUGACUACUUCUUCAAAAGCAGCCUCAUCAUUACCAAGGGUCGUUUCAACAGCCUUUAUGAACAAGAUAAUUUAGUCACAACAAUAGCAAGUUCAAAUUCAUCAGCUACAGAUAAGUUCACGACUACAUACCUUGGUACCCCGAGACUUCUCAGGGGUUGAAGCAGACUUAGCCGCAGAUAUCUUGCGGACUACUCUGCGCUUCUUGGCAGGAGGAGAGGGUUCGUCCUCUGAAUCCUCGGCAACAGUUUCUGAUUCUUCUUCUGACUGUGGCAAGUAGCCGGCAAGAACUCGAGACUGCAAAAAACAAGUCGAUAUUAACAACAAAUAUCACACAAGUGAAAAAGUACAAAUCAGGUGCAAAGACAUACCACUUCUGGCUCAUACCAAGCGUCAUACUGACGAAGAGCCGCAGGGAUUACUAGUACUCCCUGAUAGUUCCUGAAGAACUUGGCCAGCAGUGCCUCUACAUCAUCAUCGGAUAUAUCUUCAUUGGACAUACGCGAUGGAUCCUUAAGACCUGUGUACUCACUUCCUGAGUGAGCACGAUGUUGAAGCGGCUGGACCCUUCUCUUCAGAAAGCUGGCCGCCACAUUGAUUCCAGUUAGACUGAGUGCCUUCAACUCGGUAAUCUGUUGCAUCAGAUGAUCGAGCUCAGGGGUGUCUUCGGGUUUGCUCACCCAGUUUUCUGCAUGCUUGGGCGCAUGACCAGUCACCACAGGCAAGCGAGGAUUGUGGUUCCCAAUGUAGAACCACCUUUUCUUCCACUCCCCAUGGGAGUCAGUCAAGUUCUACUCAAUGUAUGCGCCCGAGUUCCUGAGUUGGAACCCAGCGCCUCCAAAGACUUCUGUUCUAUGGACACUUGACUGUGGCUUACAGCAGAAUAGUUUCCUAAACAACUCAAGACUUGGAGGAACUCCCAAAUACACUUCACAGAGUUGUACAAAUAUCGACAUAUGCAGUACACCAUUGGGGUUCAAAUGCACAAGUUGAAGGUUAUAAUAGUCGAGAAUAACUCUGAAGAAGUCGGAGGUGGGCACUGCCAACCCCCUCUCCACAAAGUGCGCAAGCAUCACGGUCUCGCCUGGAUGUUCCUCAAAUUGCCACGCAUUUAGAAAUGUGGGGCGCCACUCAAGAAUCUCUUUCGGCUGCAGAAGCUUCGCAUCGACUAGUGCUUGCAUGGCUUCCUCCUUCAUCACCGAAUGUUGCCACGUUGCUCCAGGCAGUGGUGGCGCGGUCUGGUUCGUCAGCCCCACCUUCGGCGCCGGACAUACCAGCUCUUUCACCUUCUUGGAUUUCACCUUGCCCGUCGCCAGAGCCUUGCCCUAGUUCUUCUCGGGUUUCUUGCCCAUCUUCUUGGUGCGCAUUCGAUGGACUCAACCUCAAUCUAGAACGGCACUCUCCCUCAAAUCUCUCUCAAGGGGCAGCAAUGGCGGCGGCGGCACUGGCGGCGGCUAAAAUGUGGAGCAGGAGGAUAGGGGAGGCAGAAGAACAUAUCUAAUUACCGUGCGGCGUAAAACCAAUUGAAAGGGGGCCUUCCAGUUUUAUCUCUGCCAGCUCCGGUUUCCACGCGUGAGUUACGCAACGGACGGAUUCUAAUAGAUUAAUUGCAGAUUAAUCGCCUUAACACUCAACGGCUACUCUUUUGAACAGACUGCUGACCACUUCAAUAACAGAGAUCGCCUAAGUGCUCGGGGGCUGCGGGUACCGUACCCGUUGGUCGGUUUUUUCUUUUUCAAAGAUUUCCAAGGGUAAAACAGACAAAAGACUGGUUUGACCCUAAGCUUGACUCUUCGACUCAACCUAAGGCUCGGAGGCUACUCCAUAUGGAGUGCGAUUGACAUCGCACUACCAUAUAAAAUCUCGGAACAGAAGCAACUCGAAGGAAUAAAAAGAGUACCUUCCAGCCACGCAACAGUACUCGAGCACUUCGGUCUGCAAACUCUACGACUAGCUACUCGAAUAGUGCUCACAGUGCCCAAGACUGUGGCGCACGACUACAAAGUACUUGGGGGCUUGUCGGGCAUACACCCCAGGCCCACGAGUAGAUCUUGGACGGCCCACUAAGGGGCGUACUCGAACACGAUCAGAACAAGGGAUAGGCGUAUCCCAUUCGGACUAGUCAAGUGUGUAUAUGGAAAACUACUCGGGCCUUACCAAGUAUAACUCUGUAAUAGUACUCGACUAGGACUCAAGACAUGUAACCCUGCCCUCCUGUGUAUAUAAGGGUGGGCAGGGACCCCCCCUCAACAACAACUCCAGUUCAUCAAUACAAACCAACACACAGGAUGUAGGGUAUUACGCGAUCUAGCGGCCCGAACCUGUCUAAAUCGUGUUCCCUGCGUCCCCAUUGAUUCCUUGAUUCUCGACGAUCCUUAUCGCACAAAAGACCUCCUAGGGUACCCCGUAGGCGGGUUGCUGGUCUAAAACACCGACAUGGCCUUCUAAAGCUAAAUCAUAUUCUUGUGCCUCUCUUAAGCUACGCACAAGAGUCGGCAAGAAGAAGUGAAAUUUACUUUCGAUGUUUCCAAUUGUGAUCAUAUUUUUGAUGAAUUGCUUAAACUUGGACAUCUGAAAAUAUCUCAUACUAUGCCUCCACUUGAAGAGCUCAAAAUUACUGUAAAAGCUUCUGGACAUCGGGGGCAAGCGGCGUCCUCAGUAUCUGGUCAAAAACCGCUCGAGUUCGCUGGCCAGAGCGAACCGGUCGGACCGGUGCAGGGGACCGGUCAGACCGGUCAGCCCCAGGACCACCCCCGGAUGCUGAAACCAAAGCGUCCAGAAAUUGGGACUUGGAAGCUCAAUGUGGCAAAAGAUCAGGGGAGCAGCCCCAGGGAAAAGGUCACCUUUGACAUGCUUCUGGACAAAUAUUUCAAGCAAAAGGCCGUUACAAGUGAUCGACCGGUAAAAAAGAGAAUGAGGUCACCUAUUCAUCAAGGGAGACAAAGUUCACUACCGAGCGCAGUUACAAGAUAGAGGAGUGACCAAGUGCAACCAAGGCAGUACCCCUCCACAUCUUGGGCUCCUCCGGUGUCAAAUCCUCAAUGCUCGGUGUGGGAUCACAACGGGGUAAUGUGGGUGCCUUACUAGUUUGUGCAGCAGCCGUCUUUCCAUCCUGGAUGGGAAGAAUUGAGGAAGUCAGCUUUGGAUAGGAUCUCACGCCCCAUGCAAGGCCGUUGGGCACUCCGCUCAUCCGGUCAGGGUUCACAGACCCGACGAGUCAGAUCGGUCCAUACCAACCGGUCAGACCGGCCUGUCCAGGCACCUAGGAUGCCUCCUCCAAAGCAAGUGUAUCAUACCAAGUGGAAGGAGGAGGACAAUCAGAAGAUGGAAAUAGACUCAGGUAAAAGCGUAGAGAAAGCUGUUAUUUAGAUUGUUUCUAUGGACGUUCCUGUUGAGACUCAUGUGAGAGGACCGAUUGCAACAAGCAAUCUAGUCAAGUCGUCUGUUCAGAGGGUUCCUACUGCUAAUGAUCAUGAGGCUAGUAGCAGUGGGUCGAGCUCCAAGUAUUUCUUGCCAAGGUGGUGUCCUCCCGGGUUGACUCGCACAUAGAGGAGGAAGUUGCAGAGGCUGAGGCUACAAGAGAAGAGGGAACAGGAGCUAGAGAAACAAAGGGAGGACACGUUUAACGCCUAUAGACCCAUGGUCCCUCAAAAGGAGGAGUGGAGAGUCAAGGCCGAUGCCUCAGCUCCAUCAGUCAGACCGGUCGAGGAACCGGUCAGACCGGUCAAGGCGUCUGUGCCAGCACCUGAAUUGGUCAGAUUGGUCAAGGAUCUAGUUAGACUAGUCGAGCUAGAGUUGCCGCUUAGUUUCGCUCCUUCUAUCCCUAGGCUUGUGACAAUAAGUUGGCAUCAGUCCGUGAAUCAAAGGAUGAUGAACAGCUUGUUGAUUACAAUACUUUGCCUGAGAGCAUGAACUUGGAUAUAAAUGUGAUUCAUAUGUCGAUGAAUGGUUAUGUGAUCUCGGAGGAUGAUUUGGCUCACCUUGAAUUUGGGCCUAAGGAGGCUAUGUUCCAGAAGCCUAAGGCUACUGAAAGUCACCUGAAAGCACUAUACAUGAAAGGACAUAUCAAUAGGAAGCCAAUCUCUUGGAUGCUGGUUGAUGGAGGGGCUAUUGUUAACUUCAUGCCCUAUUCUUUGUUCAAGAGAUUGGGACAUUCAGAUGAGGAGUUGAUCAAGACCAACAUGACUGUCAGCGGUGUGGGAGGAGGCGAGCCUAUGAGAGCUAAAGGUGUUGUCUCUAUGGAGCUCACCAUUGGGAGCAAGCUGUUGGCUACCUCUUUCUUCUUCGCCGAGACCCAAGGUAACUUCAGUUAAAUAUUGGGGCAUGAUUGGAUACAUGCGAAUCUAUGUGUCCCUUCUACUUUGCAUUAAUUCUUAAUCCAAUGGGUCGGAGAUGAAGUGGAGAUCGUGCAUGGUGAUACGUCGGCUUUUGUUUCUGUAGCCGAUAGUUCUACCAUAAGCGCGUAUGAUAAUGUUAAGUACUUAUCAGGUGUAGAUCUUUCUGAUUGUGAGUUUAUUAGUUGCACAAAGGAUGGCUUUGUCGCUGCUAUAUUAAAGCCGGUUGAGGAUUGGCUAUCUUAUCGCAUAUGAUGUAAUGGAUGUAAAUCUAGAAUGGUUGCAGCAGAGGCUAGAACACUAUCGGGUGCAGAAGAAUGAUAUGUGUGAGGCCAUUAAGAACCUUAAUGAUAUGAGUAAAUUAGGACAAGGGUUUAUGUCAGUCGAUCCUUUAGAGGAAGUGGAUAUUGGUGAUGUUAUUGUACCAAAGCCGACAUUUUUAAACAAAAAUCUUGAGCCUGCUUUUAAGGCCGAUUUAAUAAAGUAGUUAAAAGAGUAUGUCGCUGUUUUGCAUGGAAUUAUACUGAAAUAUCUGGUUUAAGCCGCGAGAUAGUUGAGCAUCGGUUGUCCAUUAAGCCUGGUUUUAGGCCUCACAAACAACCUGCUAGUCACUUUAAUCCUGUUAUUUAUGACCGAGUGAAAGAAGAAAUCAUUUGGUUGCUUGAUGCUAAGUUUAUUAGGCCUUAUCGAUAUGCUGAUUGGGUUUCUAAUAUUGUGCCUAUUGAAAAGAAAGGUAUAGAUAAGCUCAGAGUAUGCAUUGAUUUUAGGGAUCUUAAUAGAGCUUCACCAAAAGAUGAAUAUCCUAUGCCUAUAGACGAUGUGCUUAGUAAUGCUGCAUCUAGACAUACAAUGAUUAACUUUCUUGAUGGCAAUGCUGGAUACAAUCAAAUCUUUAUGGCCGAAGAGGACAUAUCCAAAACGGCCUUUGUGUGUCCAGGAUUUGUUGGUUUGUUUGAGUGGAUAGUUAUGACUUUUGGUUUGAAGAAUGCUGGUGCUACUUAUCAAAGAGCUGUGAAUUUGAUUUUUCAUGAUUUUCUUGGGGUAGUGCUGGAAGUGUACAUCGAUGACAUUGUGGUAAAAUCGGUCGGGCUAGGAUACCAUUUGGCUGAUUUGAGGCUUGCAUUUAAGAAAAUGUGUCGAUAUGGUUUAAAGAUGAAUCCACUCAAAUGUGCUUUUGGUGUAUCGGCUGGGAAGUUCUUGGACUUUGUAGUGCAUGAAAAAGGUGUUGAGAUUGAUCCUAAAAAAAUUGAAUCUAUUAGACAACUACAAGCUCCAACUUGCAAAAGAGAGUUGCAGAAAUUCUUGGGCAAAGUGAAUUACUUGAGAAGUUGAGAAGGUUUAUUUGUAACUUGUCCGGGAAGGUGAAUGCUUUUACUCCUUUACUUCGGUUGAAAAAUGAGGAUGAUUUCACUUGGGGGGGGGGCAAGACAGCAAGAAGCAUUUGAGGAAAUCAAGAAUUAUGAAUCUUCACCACUCAUUCUUCAGGCACCAAAGCAUGGUGUUCCCUUUAAAUUAUAUGUGGCAGCCAAAGAAGGUGUUAUUGGGGCUGCUUUGACUCAAGAGACUGAAGGGAAAGAGCAUAUUGUUACCUAUGUGAGUAUAAGCCUAUUGGAUGCCGAAACAAGGUACACUUUUAUUGAGAAGUUGUGCUUAUCAUUAUAUCAUGCUUGUACCAAGUUGAGGUAUUAUUUGUUAUCAAAUACUUGCAUAGUGGCUUGUCAAACCGACAUAAUUAAAUACAUGUUGCAAAAAUCUAUUUUGAGUGGUAGAAUUGGCAAAUGGGCUUAUGCUCUCAUUGAAUAUGAUCUAGUCUGUGAACAGUUGAAAUCAAUGAAGGGUCAAAUUGUAGCCGAUUUUAUUGUUGAGCAUAGAAUUGAUGAGCAACUUGAUUUAAAUGUCGGUUAUAUCACUAUUACCCCUUGGAAAUUGCACUUUGAUGGAUCGGUUUGCAAAAAUGGCUGUGGUGUUGGUGUGGUGCUUAUUUCACCAAACAGAGUCGUGUUUGAGUUUCUUAACCAAUUGGAUCACAAGUGUACUAAUAAUCAAACUAAAUAUGAGGCUUUGCUAUUUGGUUUGGAGAUUUUGCAAGAGAUGGGGGUAAAACAUGUUGAAGCUUAUGGAGAUUCCUUACUGGUGGUAUAGCAAGUAUCCAAGGUAUGCCAAUGUUUGGAUGGAUUCCUAAAUUCUUAUCUUGAUAAAUGUCUAGACAUCAUAUCUUGCAUGGAUGAAUUUACUAUUUAUCAUGUACCACGGGAAGAGAAUCCGAGGGCUAAUGCUCUAGCACAACAAGUGUCUGGCUAUAGUAUUCAGAAAUGAAAUUUUCACAAAAGAAAGCUAACGCUUUACGAGGCCGAGGGUUAUGUCCUGGAGGGACCGGUCCAACCGGCCUCCAAAACCGGUCUGACUAGUCCAGCCGGUCUGACCGCCCAAACAGCCAGUCUGACCGAUCUGGCUGGUGAGAUUCCCGCUUCGGCCAUGGAUUGUUCCAAAUUGGCUAAGGACGAAGUGGAUGACUGGAGAACACCUCUGAUUGAUUAUUUACAGAACCCUAAGUGUUCAGUUGACAGAAAAGUCCGACGGUGGGCACUCAAGUUCACUUUUAUGGAUGGUGAGCUGUAUCGUCGGACGAUUGAUGGGUUGCUUUUAAAAUGCUUGGGUUCUGAUCAGGCCAAAAUAGCCAUGGCAGAGGUGCAUGAAGGAGUUUGUGGUACGCAUCAAUCAACUUGUGUGAUGAAGUGGCUAGUUUGUGGUAUGCAUGAAGGCAAUGUGGAGCAAUCAGUUGCCGAGGGAGGCAAUGAUGUGCAACAAGGUGAGGUAUAGCAAGUAUUAUAUGUAAACAUUAUUUGAAUUCUCUUCUUAUCAAAAGAAACAUCAUCACACAACAUUCCAAUCACGCAACAUUUCAAUUGUCAUUUUUUAGCCAUCUGGAUCGAGCAGAAGGCCUCAAAAGAAAUGAGGCAAGAACAAGAAGUUAGAGGGUCGUAUCAUCAUCAUAAAAAUUGCUGAAGAUGGUGAACCGAUUGCUCCUGCCAAUGCUAAAACAAAGAUGGUGAAUCAGCUUCGGUUCCUUGUCAGAGAUAACAUCCCAAUCAGCUUUCAGAAUUGGAAAAAACCUGACAACGUCCCGGUCGGCACAAACCCGCUCCUUUACGUACCUGACCGAGAGAAGGCUAUGAUAUGGGAACAGCUAAAAGAUAACUUCACGUUUGAAAAUGUAGUCGAAGACAAAUUGAAAUAAUGGGGCUUGAAGAAGGCUACAAUUGCAUUUUAGACGUACAAGAAAAUCUUGAACAAAGAUUACAUAAAGAAGGGGCUUGCAUCUGAUUUCAAUAAACACCCAAAGAUAAGGGAUCAUUGGGAUUCUUUUGUACAGUUCAAGGAGACGAGCAAGAGCUAGUCGUUAACUCAGACCAACAUCGGCAAUGCCUAGAAGAAGCAAUACUUCCAUCAUCUUAGGACAGGAGGUUACAAGUCGGGGGCCGUGAAAUGGCAAAGGAUGGAAGAUGACCUAAUUGCUAGGGGAAUAGUACCAUAUACUCUCGAAUGGCCUGAGCAAGAAAAGAAUUGGUUUUAUGCUUAGGGCGGGAGGCUCAAUCCCGAAGAUGGAUCAAUUGUGUUCGGCAAUGAAAUAAGAGAAGCGGCUAAGAGACUUGAUGACUUAGUCAAGAAAAUGACCGAUGGAUCCUUCAUGCCUGAUCGAGAGAGGGACAAGCUGACAAUGGCACUUGGAAAUCCUGAACACCCUGAACGAUGCCGAGGCAAAGGACUCAUUCCGUGGAAGUUUGCCUUUCGUGAGCACAUUGAAUCAUAUAGAAGUUGCCAAACAAGCAAGGCUGACCAAGCACGACAGCUCCGAGAGCUGCAAGAACAAGUAGCAGCAUCAGAGGCAAGAAUGGCGGAAAUAAUAGACCAGCAUGUGGCCCUAGCUCUGAGUAAAAAUUCCAGUGAACAACCAGCUGCUUCAGCAUUAGGGCCACAUGUCGACGUAAGCCCGACUCAGCGUCGAAGCAGUGUCGCUUCCAGGAAGCCGUAGCUGGAGGAUCCACUAAGAUCAUUGAGGAACGCCACCCCAUGGAUGACAUCACAAGGAGAGCCCUUUGUGAGCUUGUUACUCCCGUGAGAAACAAGCUCAUAGUGGUGGCUUAUGGUGUGGUUGAGCAACCAACGCAAGGCCAAACACUAUAUAGCGUGGAGAUUCAAGCUCGCUAUGCCAAGGUUGGGGUGGACUGAGUGGCCGACGGUUGGGAGGACCUGGAACUGGAGAUCCCUGAAGGUGACGGGGAAAAGAAUUUAGGAGAAGCUAUCCAUGGUUGGAUUCAGUGGUCCAAGCGCUACAUAAGGAUUACAGUGCCAAAUCCCCCAACCUUGGGAUCAUCUCCUCAAGGCUCAAGGGCAAGAUCACCUACGCAAUCUGCCAGGGCACCCUCUCUACUACCAGACAGGUCUCCUAGCAUGAGACCAGUAGCAGAAAGGGAUCCAAGCAUGAGUCCACCUCCUCCUCCUACGAAGAAGCGUUCAGUUCCUCCUCCACCUCCUAAGAAGAAGCAGAAGAAGUAGAAGGAGAAGCAACCAGCUGAGAAAUUACCUUAUCAUAUGACAGAUGAGGAGGUCAAGGUUGUAGCGACGGCUGAGUACAAAACAUGGAAAGAGGCUUGUAAAGAAGCAUGGAGGAAGAAACAAUCGGAGCCACCACUAGAUAAAUGUAAGCUUCGGGCUUUCAUUAGAAGAAUGGAGGCGGAGCAAAAGGAAAGAGCUAGAGAAACCUCUGCUAACUGAUUACGAAAUGCAGAUAACAAAGCAGGCAGCUCAGAAGAGGAAGAAAAGUGGGAAAUCUAUUGCUCAACUCGGAGAGCAAUCCAACCAAUUGGUUGCCCCCGCUUGUGGUGCUUUUUGAGUUUGAGAAGAACCUGAUUGAAUUCAGUAAAGAUACAAAUCUGACAGCAGCACAACUUUGAGGGGAGGAUGACAAAGAGCUCCCUGUGCCUGUCAAAUGGAAAUAUGAGUAUGGUAAAGAGCUCGUGUGGCCAUGGUUGGUGAAACAUCUCCCAACGUAGAUGUACAAGCUGCAUCAAUGGUACAUGGAGGCUACAACAAAUGGUUUUGUCGUGAUAGAAGUUCAGGUUGGUGACCAACAUUACUUAUGUGGUGAUGACAUCAUAAUGGUGGAAAUGGAGGAACUAUAUAUGCUAUACAAUCAAGAUGUACUAAACAAGUCACUAAUCAGUUGCUGGAUCCUGUAAGUCUUUAGUAUAUUCCUCAAACUUCAAAAUCCCCGCUCUAAUCAAUUUGCGAUGUCUUAACUCCUAUUCGAUUUUGUAUCAUACAGGAUGAAGAUGCAAACUUGUCACAGGAUGGGAUACCAGGAUGUAGGCUUCAUGGACCCCGAAAUUAUUUUCCAGGCAAAUCUAAGGGAUAAACCAAAUCGAACCUUGAAGAAUAUAUUUAAGUUCCUCGAUAAGCAUUAGGAUAAGAAGUAAAUAUUACUACCGUGGAACUUCGAGUGAGCAUUUUUCUCAUCUCUAUCUUUUCCGAACUUGCAGUUAAACAUAAUACUAACUAGCUUCAAUUUGGAUGCACAGCUACCAUUGGAUACUCCUUGUUAUUAUGCCUGCUUGGAGCUUCGUGUAUGUCUUCGACUCUUUGAGGAAACCAAAAGAAAAAUACGCUGACAUCAUGAACGGUCUGAACAAAUGCUGGGCUCGAUUCCGUCAAACUCACAAGGAUGAUUUCAAGGAGCAACUUGUUUAGAAGACAGAUUUCUCGGCAUGUGUUUAAUUUUCACAUCUUGUGACAGAUUUUGAAACAGUGCUAGUAAGUUCGGUAUAUUAAGAUGGCAUGGUUUUCUGCGCACAAGUACCUGAUAACCUUCAGUACUGCAUUGUUCCACUAAAAUCUGCAUCUCGUGUUCUACUAAAAUCUGAAUCUAGUGUUCUACUAAAAUCGUAUUGAGUCUCAGUCACUUUUUUUGAAAAAAAUCUAAAACCAAAUCGUCUAAGGCCGUAGCAUAGCUAGCCAAUAAGAACAAUUUACAAAACGUAUCAAAGGAAAUUUUGGACUUGCUGAAGUUGCAGUUUCUUUGAUGCUACGUUACCAACUAACAAGGCAAGUAGAAAAUCCACCUAGGGAAAUCAUGAUUCCACAUAGGACAUCACCAGUGACAAGCUAAGGCCGUUAUGAUUAACAUCCAAUAGAAAGAGACAGCAACUGACCUACGCAAGCAAGUAUGCAAAAAUCGCUUUGCAUGCCAAAGAUUCUCUCCAAUAUUCAUCCGUGAUCAGUCUAACCUUUUCUGAUAGGAGAGAAAAGAAGACAAGUUUUUUUUCUUUCGAAAAUGAGCAGAUUAAUUUAUUUAACAGAACAUGAAUUUGAACUAACUAAACUGAUCCUAUACCUGUAAAGUGGAACUUUCUUGCCUCCCCUAAUAAUGAAAUGCUGAAAUUUGUGUAAUUUAGAAUGAGCCCACAUCUAGUUCUAAAUGGAUAUACCACCAUGAAAUGCUUGCUUAAUCUCUUACCUGAGUAAAAAUUGCCUUUGCUUUUGAAACACCCAUGCGAAUACCAAUCUCCUGUGGUGCAAAACUAUCUGCUAUUGAUACGACAACAAAGCCACCAAGGACGAUUGCCAAAUAUAUGAUGACCGCAUUGCAUGUCAUAGGCAUGUCUAUUGCCAUCCGAUCCCCUUUCUGGAACAUGGUAUCUAGUGCAUUUGCAACAGCUCUGAAAAUCGACAUAGCAACAAAGCCGUGAUGAAGAAUAAUUCACAGAUGCAAAUAUUGUAUGCUUCUAACUCUUAGUUCAGGAGUAAAAACAUAGAUCACUUCGACUACGAAGCUCCUUCAGUGACAUACGGUUCACUGGAUGAUCAUCAAGACCUUCAUCCCUCCAAACAAUAGCAGUACUGUCAUCUGUCCUCUUCAAGGAAGGGCAAGGUAGCAGACAGCAUUCGGCAAUGUUGAGCACCACUCCUUGAAGCCAAGUUCCCCCUUUCUUUGAUCUAUCUGACGUACAUAGAAUUGCCUUUGGUUCUUGUUGAAACUUGAGUGCGAGCUGCUUUAGCACCAUUGACCAGUAGACCUGAAAGGGGAAUCACCUAGGAGGCUAGGAUCAUACUGUUGGAUCCAAAAUAAAGAACGGAGAACUUCUGAAGUGUCUUUUUUUUGUCUGUUGACUCAUACAUGGAGUAUUUUAUUGUAUUAAUUUAGAGCAACUGACCUCUUGAUUUUCUACUGAAAACCUGUAAAAGUGCCAUGAUGAUUUUAACAGCUUCGGUCUAUUUGCUUCCAUCAAUCUCCCCAGGUUCUUUGCUUACUGUCAAAUCCUGCACCAACCGAAACGCUUGUGCUACUAAUUAAUGCCGUACAGCAUACUCGGUAGAGGUACAACCAAGAGCAUCUACAGCCUAGCUCUGUUAAUCAUUCUCUAAAGCCUGUCAAUCUCACUGAAUUGGUUAGGCACGCAGCACUAAGAAAUGAUGCUAUCAGCUGCUUGAUACACGCUUGAAAUUUGCAGUGCAUGUUACGGUUACAUCACACAACAGUCAAGGCCGUUCAACCAAAUCAACAAUAGCAUCAAGAUUCACUUAGCCGGCUACCUGGGCUGCUGUAGGAGCUGCUGUAUCCCUGUCCGUGGUGGCUUCGGAUGGCCUUGAGGGGCCAAGCGCUGCCGCACGGGAGUCUGCGCUGCUUCAGGCCUCAAGCGCUAGCCUCCCUCCCUUGCCGAGUCGGCAUCGCCGCCGCCAGCUCCGGCAAGCCGCCGUGCAUCCCCGCCGUCACCCCUCUUUGACCGCCACUCCGCGCCACCGCGGCCUCCCCGCUCCCGAUGCACCCGCUCCCCCACGUCCUACGCCGCUGCUUCCACCCGCCCCCGCUCCUCCUGCUCCUCGGCCUCCCCACUCCCGCAUCGGGUGUCAAUUAAUUGGAGUCAUUACCCGUAUCCGUAUCCCGAGUUUUAAGCUCACGAUUUUUGGUGUAAAUUGGUGAGGUGGGAUUAUACCUGGUGGGCGGCUUGCAAUCCCCGCCGCCUCCGGGCGCGCGACGCUCCGGCUGCCACUCCGUCACGCUGGAGGCCACGGAGCGCGCGCUGGAGCCGUUCCCACCGCUGGUGUUCGCGGGCAAGGCGCGGAAGCUGGAGGAGCAGCUCGGGGAGGCGGCCUUGGGCCAGGCGUUCCUCCUGCAGGGCGGCGACUGUGCCAAGAGCUUCAAGGAGUUCAGCGCCAACAACAUCCGUGACACAUUCCGGCUCAUGCUGCAAAUGGCCAUCAUGGCCCUGGCCGCCCGCGGCCCUACACGCACGGCGACCCCGAGGGGGAGCCCGGCCGGAGCAAAUGGCCUCCGAGGCAGCGGUGCAGCGUGGCCGCCCCGUCCACCACGCGCCGCCGGAGCUCGCUUGACCUCGUCUCCGCAGUCCGCACCCGUGGUCGGGCCACCCUCCCUCCUCCCCCUCUCCACGGCCGCGGCUGAGCCCAGGACACCGGCCGCUGCACCACUGACGCUGCCGGCCGCCCGCGCCCAAUCUUCCUCGUUACGGAGGAAGACUUGCGGAAGGGAAUAGGACUACAGGUUGAUUACUAAAAACUUGAGGGGGUUUUUUGAAAAAUGAUCACGACGGUUGAAGGAUUGAAAGAAACGUCCCCUCUUUAAUAUUAAGGUAUAGAUAUAGAUAUAGAUAUAUAUUAGGCCCUUGUUUAGUUCACCUCCAACUUUCAACUUUGGCACUAUGCAAAAAGAAGAUUCCCUAUCACAUCAAACUUACGGUACAUGCAUGGAGUACUAAAUUUAGAUGAAAAAUUAAAAACUAAUUGCACAGUUUUGUUGUACUUUGCGAGACGAAUCUUUUGAGUCUAAUUAGUCAAUGUUUGGACAAUAAUUCACAAAUACAAACGAAACGCUACAGUGUGCUACAGUGCCAUCACAGUAAUUUUGGCACUCCCAAUUUUGGCAACUAAACAAGACCUAGGUAUUAGAUAUAGAGCCAACUCAGUCUUAAAUGGGCACCAGGCCUGUUGAUAGCCAUGUGCGAGAUGGGGAACCGAACAGGGCGUCCAAAAAAGUCGGGCCUCCAAAUUGCUAAUCUGUUUCUCUGCUGGACUUCACGCGGCUGUAUAUCCUGUUCACCAAGCUGUUGUCGACAAUAUGCUGCCAGUUGUGGAACUUCUGAUGAUAUAAGUUUCUCCAAGAUUUAUAAGAUUAUUGCUCAUUCGAAUUUCAACAGCACUAGAAAUGAUGUCUCGGUGAAGAUUAAUUAUGAAGAUAUAAUUAGGUCAUGUUUGGCUCCCCUGCUAAAGUUUAGCACCUGUCACAUCGGAUGUUUAGAUACUUAUUAGGAGUAUUAAACGUAGGAUAAUUAAAAAACUAAUUGCACAGAUGGAGUCUAAUUCGCGAGACGAAUCUAUUAAGCCUAAUUAGUCCAUGAUUUGACAAUUUGGUGCUACAGUAAUCAUUUUCUAACGAUGGAUUAAUUAGCUUAAUAGAUUCGUCUCGCAAAUUAGCCCAGGGGUUCUGCAAUUAGUUUUAUAAUUAGCUCACGUUUAGUCCUCUAACAGCAUCCGAACGUUCGAUGUGACACUGCUAAAGUUUAGCAUCUAGUAUCCAAACAUCUCCUUAGAAAUAUCAUCUUAAGAAUACCAGAUGGAUGAUACGUUUUAAUAGAACAUGUGGUCAGUACUUAUGUUGUUUUUUCUAUCCUAAUAUUGAAUAUAUGUUUAAAUAUUGUAUGAAAUAACACAUACUAAAGUUAAAAAAUGGGUGAAAGUAUACCUAAGUUAUAUUAGAGAUUUUUUUUUCAAAAAUUAGGACUAUAUUUUGCAUUUCGCUCCGGAACCUCAAAGUUCGGAAACGUCCCUCAUAGGCACAUACAACAAGUACAUGUGCCACGUAGUCUAACGAUGGAGGGAAGUGGGAAGACGUGCCAUUGUGCAGGGUUCAGAUGUCAACAAGUCAACAAAGCGAACGAUAGGGAGCUUUCUAUCAUGGGAUCUAUUUGUUUGAGGUGCAGCUUUUGAUCUUUUCUAAAAAGUUGUUGUUGGCUUUUCUAUUCUGAAAAAUUAAUACGAACUUUUAGAAGAUGCGUUUAGCUUCUUAAGGUGAGAAAGCUGCAAAAAAACUCAUAAAUUGAGCUUUCCAUCUCUCCAUAUAAAUUCAGCUUUUUUGAGCUUUCAGCUUUUCAGAAGGUAUAUGAGAAGUUUACUGUUUGUUCGAGCUCCUGACUUUUCACGUUGAAAAGCUGCUAGAAAGCUCGAACAAACAGGCUCAUAGGCUAGCGCCAACGAUGCUUGGGCGAAGAUGUUAGAGUGUGGACACAGAACCUCUUUGCUGCAAGGAGCAGAGUUGGAGUGGGUAUGCUGCAGCUUGCUCAUCGUCGGCGGCUUGGCGCUAUCGAUAUCCUCCAAUAUGAGAUACUUGAAAUCGCUUGAUUUGGCUUAAGGUUGGCACUUGUACGUGGUUUGAGGUUUUUGUUUGAGCUUCUUAGCAGUUUCUUAUCGUAAAAAGUCACUAGAUUUGUGCUUAAACAAAUCGUAAACUUCUCGUGCAGCUUCUGAAAAGCCAGAAGCUCAGAAAAGCUGAGUUUAUAUGGAAAGUUGAGAAGCUCAAUUUACUCAACUUUUCAUAGCUUUUUGAGUCCAGAAAGCUAAAUACAAAAGUUAGUAUUACCUUUUUAAAAUUAUAAAACCAGCAGUAUGUUUCAGAAAAGUUCAAAAAGUUGCAGCUAGUGUUUGGAAGGAGGGGCUAAAGUUUAGCUCCCGUCACAUCGAAUAUUUGGACACUAAUUAGGAGUAUUAAACCUAGACUAAUUAUAAAAUUAAUUACACAACCUCUAGACUAAAUCGCGAGACGAAUCUAUUAAGCCUAAUUAGUCCAUGAUUUGACAAUGUGGUGCUACAGUAACCAUUCACUAAUGAUGAAUUAUUUAGGCUUAAUAGAUUCGUCUCGCGAUUUAGUCUAGAGGUUCUGCAAUUAGUUUUGUAAUUAGCUCAUAUUUGGUCCUCCUAAUUAGUAUCCGAACAUCCGAUAUAAUAGGGCUAAAAUUUAGCCCUGAUAGCUAGACGCCCCGCUAAGGCAGGAGGCUUGAAGGUUGGAUCGACUUCUGACUUCUCCAUGCCGAGCCAGCUCGUUAACUUUACAAGCUGGGCCGAGCCGAACCGGCUCGACUUCCGGCUCGACUUCCAGCCGAGUCGGCUACUCGUCGCCUUCCCAAAUCCCAACCCGAUCCGAUCCGAUCCCCUCCCUGUCCGUCGCAUUUCAUCUCCCUCCCGCCGCCGCGAAAUCCGUCGCUGCAAACGCAACUCCGCACUCCCAACCGCGGGUGGAGCCUAGAUCCUUUGCCGCUCGUGCUCCGUGGCCUCCCUGCACUCCCAACCGCCGCCGGUGCUCUGCCGUCGCCAUAUCUGAGAGAGACGGCCGGACGAGGCCCUCCUCCGCGACAUCUCGACGUCGAGAGGUCGAUUCGGUGGCGGCCGCUGGUCCGCGGCUUCCAGCCAGGGCGGCGGUUUUCAGGGAAGGCUCAUAUUUUUUUUAACUUACUCGGUUCGAUUGCUCUAGUGCCUAAAUCGAACCUUUCCUUGUUUAUUAUCCCCUCGAUUCGUUUUGCAUCCACAUUGGAGCUGCCGUUCUGGCACCGGACUCGGUAACCGAGCACCACAAAGAUUCACCCAGCUCCACAUAUCCCUGCUACCGUGGCGUACCGAUUCUCACGGCAGAAACCUGACCCGUGAUUGCUGCACGAGCGGCAGAGGGGGCGAGGGGCCAUAGGGUGCGGAGACUUGGCUUGAUUGUUGGGGCGACGGACAUGGGGAUACUGGAGCAGAUGAAGGCUCUGUCCGUCGAGGGGCAGCCUCAAGUCCAGAUAACUCGUAAGCAUCCUGGUGUCUGUUUGCUCGCGUUACUUAUCUGCAUGAUUAGUGAGUGCUGUCAUAUGAGAUAUCAAUUAUUAUUUACAAUUUUUCUACAUCUGUUUCUGGGAUAGAAGUAGCCACGGGACUGGUCGAAUUAAGUAAAUUCAUGUGGCCUGGCUAGGUUUCGAACAAAGAUCCCUCUACGCUGAUGAUUUUGUGCAGAGACACAUGUUUGAGGUGAUUGUGCGCAUAGAGAUUUAAUUUUUAGGUAACAUUGCGUAUAAAGGAUCUCAUGGAACCUAGGUUCUGUCUGCUCAACUGUUGUCGAGUAGAAGUUUAAGCAUCAUCUAAGCCAAGUGCUGCGCAUGUGCAAUUGUGUUCGUGUUUGCUGUUUUCCUUGCCAUUGUACCUUCUGUCUCAUGACAUUCCUGAUUUGCGGGUGAUGGAUCAAAUUGUUCGGCAUCUCAAAUAAUGGUAUCACCUAGUCUAGAAGGAGAUAUUUCGCAUUGCGUCGAAACAAUGGGAUCACAGGUCCAGCUUCCAGAGGUAUGAGAUGAUAUCAUGUAAGUUAUUAGGAUGAAUCAGUUUUUCUCAGAGCACUAUAUAGCAAGUGAUAGAACUAACCACCCCCACUGUCAUUACUGCUAGCUUGGUGGUGGAAUUUUGGAUUAUAAGAACUUGGUAGUGCAUCUGACAUUCACACUAUGAGGUCCAGGGUUGUACAAUGGUCCAUGGUUGAUGUUUUUGAAUUGUCGUUACCUUGCCUUAUCAUCUUAUGAUGGUUGUUGCUUGUGAAUUUUUUUUAUGUUAUACCUGCUGAAAAUGAGGAUACCCCCAGGAUAGUGUCAAGGACGUCGAGUCCUCGACUGGCCGGACCGCGACUACGGAGCUCGUAGCCGUCGGCCGUCUUCUCCGGUGAGGUUAUACCCCUCAACCGUAGGCUUUAGGAGACAAGGGAGAUAGGAUAUAUAAUUCUUGCUUAAUUGAUCUCACGAGUACAGCAGCUUAUAUAUGGCCAAUGGCCUAAACAAAACAUAGAAAGUAAAGCUAAGUUUCCAUCCUUAGUCACUAGAGUUUGAUUCCAGCAGCGCUUGAUCCGCACGCUCGGCAGCGCGGCGUAUGUCGCGGGCCCGACGGCGCCUGCCGUAUGUACGCCCGUACAUGACAUCUCCCCCUGCCUCGAAGUCCAGCUCGUCCUCGAGCUGAAAUGAAGGAUACCGAGCACGGAAAUCGUCCAAAUCCUCCCAUGUGGCCGACUCCGGAGGUUCACCUUGCCAUUCGACGAGGACUUGACGGACGCCACGGGCAAGACGAGCGCGUGUCACCUGACUUGGAGUAGGCACCACCGCACCAUGUAGAAGUGGAGGCAACAAUGGGGGUGCGGAUGGUGGAACGCCGACGAACUUUUUUAGAACACUGACGUGGAAGACAUCAUGAAUACGAGCCCCGGGAGGAAGCAGGAGCCGGACAGCUACCUCAUUGAUAAGCUCCGCGACUUGAUAUGGCCCGACGAAUUGCGGCUUGAGCUUCCCUGUGACAGAACGUGGAAGAGACGCGGCCGCCCGCUGCCGUAGACGAAGAAGAGCCCAGUCACCGACCUGGAAGGAGACCGCCCUGUGAUGCUGGUCGUAGACACGUUUCUGGGCCGCCUGUGCCUGCUCGAGACGAUAGCGGAUGUCCUCAAGAAAAGCGGAGCGCUCCUCCAUUUCCUGGGCGACGGCGGCGACACGGGUGUCCCCAGGCUCAUAGGAACGAAUGGACGGAGGAUCCCGGCCAUACACCACACGGAAUGGAGUGUCGCGGAGGGACGUCUGAUACGCCGUGUUGUAGAUGUACUCGGCCCAGGGCAACCAUCUGAGCCACUGCCGGGGACGAUCACCAGUGAAGCACCUCAAGUACAUAACAAUCACCCGGUUGGCCGCCUCAGUCUGGCCGUCCGUCUGGGGAUGGAAAGCAGACGACAUGAAGAGCUUGGUCCCUGUAAGCCGCAUGAGUUCGCGCCAAAACGCUGAGGUGAACACCGGAUCGCGGUCCGAUACGAUGGACUGCGGCACGCCAUGGAGACGAACAAUGUCGGCGAAGAAGACGUGGGCGACGGACUCGGCCGUGUAGGGGUGCGCCAAGGGAAUAAAAUGGCAGUACUUGCUAAAACGAUCCACGAGAGAAAGAAUGACCGUCUUGCCUUGUACCUUGGGAAGGGCCUCGAUGAAGUCGAUGCCGAUGUCAGCCCAUACGGUCGAUGGAACGGGCAAAGGCUGAAGGAGUCCGGCCGGCCUGAGAUGAUCGGACUUGUACUGCUGACAAGUGACGCAUGCCUUCACGAAGUCCUGCACCAACCGGCGCAUGGCAGGAAAGUGGAAGUCCCGACGGAGCCGGUGGAGGGUACGGUGAACGCCUUCAUGGCCAUCAUUGUGGACGGCGGCCACAAUCUCUGGCAGCAGCGGGGACGCCGAGGGAAUGUACAAACGGCCAUCGAAGGCAAUCAUGCCGUCCAGCAGUGCCCACGGCGUGGUGCGGGUGCCAGCCUGAAUUUCGUCGUGGAUGGCGACCAAGGCGGGAUCAGUGGCCUGGGCGUGGCGGAGACGCUCGAUGAAGUCGAAACGGGGUGCCGAAACAGCCAUCAAUUCCCCGGCGUCAUCAUCGCGACGGGACAGGGCGUCGGCGACGACAUUUGUGGCGCCCGAGCGGUACUCCACCGAGAAAUCAAAGCCCAGGAGCUUGCCGACCCAAUGAUGCUGAGGGAUAGUGGCGAGGCGUUGGUCGAGCAGGUACUUCAAGCUGUAGUGAUCGGUGCGGACGGCGAAGCGCCGGCCCCAGAGGUAUGGCCGCCAGUGCCUAAUGGCCUGGACGAGACCGAUGAGCUCGCGCUCAUAAGCAGCCAGCGAGCGGUGGCGAGGAGCCACAGGCCGGCUGUAGAAGGCUACAGGGUGGCCUUCCUGGACAAGAACAGCACCAAAGCCGACGGACGACGCGUCGCACUCCACGGUGAACAUCUUGGUGAAGUCGGGCAUGGCGAGGACAGGAGCAGAAGUGACGGCUGCCUUGAGCGCGGUGAAUGCCGCCACAGCCGCGUCGUCCCAAGAAAAGCCUUCCUUCUUGAGAAGGGCCGUCAGGGGAGCCGCAAUUGCCCCGUAAUUGUGGACGAACUUGCGGUAAUACCCGGCGAGGCCGAGGAAGCCGCGCACCGCCCUGGGUGAACGUGGAGGAGGCCAAUCGUGGAUGGCCUGCACCUUGGCAGGGUCCAUGGCCACGCCUGCCGCUGAGAUGACAUGGCCGAGGUAUGCGACGGACGAGGCGCCGAAGGAACACUUGCUGCGUUUGACGAACAGCUGGUGGCGGCGGAGUUCAUCGAGGACGGCCCGAAGAUGGCGAAGAUGAUCAGCCCAUGUCCUGCUAUAGAUCAGAAUAUCGUCAAAAAAUACGAGGACGAAACGACGGAGGAACAGCCGGAGCACGUCGUUCAUCAGAGCCUGGAAUGUUGCCGGAGCGUUGCACAGGCCGAACGCCAUCACCAGAAACUCGUAUAGGCCGUCGUGGGUACGGAAUGCCGUCUUGUGAAUGUCUUCCGGGCGCAUGCGCACCUGAUGGUACCCCGAGCGCAGGUCCAGCUUGGUGAAAAACUUGGCGCCGUGCAGUUCGUCGAGGAGCUCGUCGACCACCGGGAUCGGGAAAGCGUCCUUGACGGUGAGGGCGUUCAGCGCCCUGUAGUCGACACAGAAGCGCCAGGACCCAUCGGGCUUCUUGACGAGGAGGACGGGCGACGAAAAAGGGGAAUCACUGCGGCGGACGAUGCCUUGGGCGAUCAUGGCAGCACACUGCCGUUCCAGUUCAUCCUUGUGCGCCGCAGGGUACCUGUAUGGCCGUACGGCGACCGGCUGGGCGUCGGGCUUGAGGAGGAUGCGAUGAUCAUGGGUACGCUUGGGUGGGAGGCCCGCCGGUUCCGCGAAGAUGCCCUCAAAGGAGCGGAGCAGCGCCUCCAAUAGUGAACCUGCGGCUGUGGUAGCGUUCAGGGCCGGUACCGACGGGCUGUCCACGCCGGUCCAGGAGACGAAACGCCCGUGGCGCAGGAAGUGCAUGCGCCGGUGGCCAAGGUCCCAGACGAUGGGGCCCAACUCGCCGAGCCACCUGGUGCCGAGGACGACGUCGUACCCCGCCAAUGGCAUGACGUAGAGAUCGGCCGGGAACGACUCGCCGUCGAUGAUCAGGGGAGCGUUGCGGAUGACGCCGGCGCAGGAGACCCGUUCGCCAUUAGCGACCAAGGCAGUGAGACGGGGACGGGAGCGGGAGGGAAGACCGGAGCGCCGUGCUGCCUCCUCCAAUAUGAAGUUGUGCGUGCUGCCGGAGUCGAGGAGGGCGACGAGAGAUGCGGCACCGACGACCACCGCGAUCUGCAUGGUUCCGGCCACGGGCACCCCAGCUACGGCCUGUAAGGAGAAGCAUGGCGCCUCGGCCUCGCGCUCCUCGUCAUCCGCGGCGUCCACAGUGUCCUCGAGCUCCACACCUUCAAUGAAGAAGAGGCGCCUGCAAAAUCGGUUAUGGCCCCGAGUAUACUUUUCAUUACAAUUGAAACAGAGCCCCAGACGACGGCGUUCGGCCAUCUCGUCCGGAGUCAGACGCCGCGGAGUGCUCUCGCUGCGGCCUGUCUGGCCGGCCAUCGGAGGGGCGGGGAGGGCCAGCGGUUGGUGUGGCGCCGGCAGGGCGGCCCUGGGAACGGGCGCGGGCAGAAGGGCGCGCUGCGGUGGCCGGUGAGGUUGCGGCGCCGGACGUUCGGCCUCCAUGAGUUCCACCUGACGCGCCAGGCUCAUAGCAGCCGCUAGCGUUGCUGGAUUGUGGAGGCGGACGGCGUGGCUGAGCGGCGGUAGAAGACCCCCGGUGAAGAGCUGCACACGUUGGGCCUCAUCCAGCCGGCCGGCGCGAGACAGGAGGGCCUGGAAGCGAUUGGAGUAGUCCUCCACCGUCCCUGUACACCGGCACUCAGCAAGCUCGAAUAGCGGAGCCGAGCGGAGGGGAGGCCCGAAACGCAGGUGCAGUAGCUCCUUGAAACGCCCCCACGGCGGCGGUCCCUCGUCUUCCUGGAGUUGGGUGUACCAUAGCUGGGCGACAUCCUCCAGAUGAUACGAAGCCAACCACACGCGCUCCUCCGCCAUAGUACGUUGCUGACGAAAGUAAGAUUCACACCUGUUGAUGAAGAGGAGCGGAUCGGACUUGCCGUCGUACCGGGGAAAGUCCAACUUGUGAAACUUGGGGGGGCGCUCGGCGUCGCGCGGCCCCUCCGGACGGCCACCGGUGGCGCUGGUGGACGACGAGGACGGCUUUUCUUUGAUGGCCGCCAAGUCAGCCUUCAGGGUUGUUACUUCCGUGGACAGCGAUUUCAGUAGUUCCAUCACAUCGGCGAGGGACGGAUCGCCCAUGGCUGGCGGCGGCGGCGCGGCAGUCGAAGCCGACGGUGGGGAUCGUGGAGGGUUUGGGUGGGAAUUGGCGGCGGCCGAAGAGUUGGAGCGGGCGGGCGAGGAUCGGCGAGACCGUGAUACCAAGUUGUCAAGGACGUCGAGUCCUCGACUGGCCAGACCGCGACUACGGAGCUCGUAGCCGUCGGCCGUCUUCUCCGGUGAGGUUAUACCCCUCAACCGUAGGCUUUAGGAGACAAGGGAGAUAGGAUAUAUAAUUCUUGCUUAAUUGAUCUCACGAGUACAGCAGCUUAUAUAUGGCCAAUGGCCUAAACAAAACAUAGAAAGUAAAGCUAAGUUUCCAUCCUUAGUCACUAGAGUUUGAUUCCAGCAGCGCUUGAUCCGCACGCUCGGCAGCGCGGCGUAUGUCGCGGGCCCGACGGCGCCUGCCGUAUGUACGCCCGUACAUGACAGAUAGCACAAUUCAAUACUGUAUUUUUUAAAACAGAACACAUUUAGCUAAUUCGAUCGUAAUUUGUCCAUACUGCUCACUUCAGACAAGCAUUAUUACCACAACCAUCUUGUGAUGUUCGUUAUUUUUCUCAUGCUUUUUUUUUUGAAAAAUUUCCCAUGGUUAUUUUCACAGGACAUUCUUCAUCAAAUACACGCCCUCAUGCCAUUGCGAGAUGCUGCUCAGGCCGCCUGCGUGUCUCGUGGUUUUCUGCGUUCUUGGAGAUGCUUUCCAAAUCUCAUUAUUUCUGUUGAUUCUCUAGGGAUUAAUGAAAACACAUCUAAUGAUGAAAUAAAAAGGGAUUUCGUAUGUAGAGUUGACCACAUUAUGCAGAAUCACUCUAGCAUGGGAGUGAAGAGGUUUGUAAUGGAAACCUACCCUUGUUCGAAUCUCCAACCUAGUUAUGUUGACCGCUGGCUUCAAUGUGCCAUUACACCUGGGAUCAAAGAAAUCUAUCUAUCAAUGUUUAGUUGUGGGAUAAAGUACAACUUCCCAGGAUUACUUUUAUUUAGUAGGGAGAUAAGAAGCUCCAUCCAGACUUUUGUGCUUGGGGAUUGUUCUUUUCGCUGUGCAGCCCAAGUUGGUUAUAUGAGUAGCCUGACAAAUUUGGCAUUGCAUUCAGUACACAUUACUGGAGAGGAACUAUAUGGUUUUCUAUCCAAUUCUUGUGCUGUGGAGCAACUAAGGCUUACCAACUGCAAUGAUAUAAUUUGCUUGAAGAUACCUUGUCUGCUGCAGAAGCUUGAUAUCCUGCAUUUGGUGGGUUGCAGUAAGCUGGAAAUGAUUGACAGCAAUGCCCCUAACCUCUCCACUUUCUUCUUUGCUGGGCGCCCAAUACAUAUCUUGCUUGGCGAAGCAUUGCAAGUGAGAAAAAUAAGUUUUUUCCGUGACUUUUCACCUGAUGCGCUAUAUUAUGCUAGUACCAAAUUUCCAUUCAUCGCGCCAAAUCUCCAAACUCUUGUGCUAUCAACAAGUGAUGAGGUCAGUUUUAUCCGUCCCAAUAAGUUCAUUGUUCUGGAAAUGAAACUGAUGGUAGAAUAAUAGUUUUAUGUUUACAAUACUCAAUUACUCAGUCCACAAUUAAUCUUCGGGGGACAUUUAUUUCU